RNAcentral lists this ribosomal RNA (467 nucleotides) under uncultured bacterium. RNAcentral describes it as "partial 16S ribosomal RNA". It matches the Rfam family "Bacterial small subunit ribosomal RNA", at positions 28 to 506 of the family's 1533-position model. The record is from RNAcentral.
GACGAACGCUGGCGGCGUGCUUAACACAUGCAAGUCGAACGGAAAGGCCCUGCUUUUGUGGGGUGCUCGAGUGGCGAACGGGUGAGUAACACGUGAGUAACCUGCCCUUGACUUUGGGAUAACUUCAGGAAACUGGGGCUAAUACCGGAUAGGAGCUCCUGCUGCAUGGUGGGGGUUGGAAAGUUUCGGCGGUUGGGGAUGGACUCGCGGCUUAUCAGCUUGUUGGUGGGGUAGUGGCUUACCAAGGCUUUGACGGGUAGCCGGCCUGAGAGGGUGACCGGCCACAUGGGGACUGAGAUACGGCCCAGACUCCUACGGGAGGCAGCAGUGGGGAAUAUUGCACAAUGGGCGGAAGCCUGAUGCAGAAACGCCGCGUGCGGGAUGACGGCCUUCGGGUUGUAAACCGCUUUCGCCUGUGACGAAGCGUGAGUGACGGUAAUGGGGAAAGAAGCACCGGCUAACUACGU